GUGGGGAAUAUUGGACAAUGGGCGAAAGCCUGAUCCAGCCAUGCCGCGUGAGUGAUGAAGGCCUUAGGGUUGUAAAGCUCUUUCAGUAGGGAAGAUAAUGACGGUACCUACAGAAGAAGCCCCGGCUAACUUCGUGCCAGCAGCCGCGGUAAUACGAAGGGGGCUAGCGUUGUUCGGAUUUACUGGGCGUAAAGCGCACGUAGGCGGAUUGGUCAGUUAGGGGUGAAAUCCCAGAGCUCAACUCUGGAACUGCCCUUAAUACUGCCAAUCUAGAGUCCGGAAGAGGUGAGUGGAACUCCUAGUGUAGAGGUGGAAUUCGUAGAUAUUAGGAAGAACACCAGUGGCGAAGGCGGCUCACUGGUCCGGUACUGACGCUGAGGUGCGAAAGCGUGGGGAGCAAACAGGAUUAGAAACCCGUGUAGUCC
Molecule: ribosomal RNA, 425 nt
Filed under: uncultured bacterium
Lineage: Bacteria
Description: partial 16S ribosomal RNA
Rfam family: Bacterial small subunit ribosomal RNA
Source: RNAcentral